Molecule: long non-coding RNA, 448 nt
Organism: Drosophila montana
Lineage: Eukaryota; Metazoa; Arthropoda; Insecta; Diptera; Drosophilidae
Exons: 2
Source: RefSeq, a predicted model, not a curated record
GCAGUUGAAAGGCUAAAUGCUCUUCCACUGCACUUGCAUUGGGCCUCUGCAUAUGUACGUCAAGGUUACGAGAUACGCGGGGGCGGGCUUAUUAUGAUGAUGAUGAUGAGAUCCAAUAACUGCAUACAAGGUGGCCCGGGAAUCAAUAAAUGAAACUUCUUCAUUGGAAACUCGAGUGUUUAUAGCUGAAAAUUUAUACAGUUUUUAGUUGAGAAUAAGCUAUACGCUUACAAAGGACUUACACUUAAAUAUACUUCGUAGAUGAAUUUUCAAGUAGGCAAGUGAAAAACGAGAGUCUAGGUUUGAUUCCCAAGCUGGAUGUGGAAGCACAUGUUCGUAUUAACUUAUAAAGAUCUAGAAAAAAUCUUAAAUUGGUUUAGUCUGAAAACGGUUUUAACUAGUUGCGAAUUAUAGUUCGACAAAUAAAUGAACAUUGAAAUUUGUUAAA